GCUGAACCUCUCUUAAAAGCUGAGCCCUGGCUGUGUCCCAUGUGUGUCAGGAGGUGGCAGAGAGGAGAGAGCGUCUGUCCACUCAGUGUUCUGAUCUGUGAACAUUGAGUGGUUAGUAGCCUAACAUU
This is a small nucleolar RNA of Mus spicilegus (steppe mouse), 128 nucleotides long. Lineage: Eukaryota; Metazoa; Chordata; Mammalia; Rodentia; Muridae. The record is from Ensembl.